UCUCUCUCUCUCUCUCUCAACUCUGCUCCUCUUCGCCAAUCUUCACCACGUCUGCCCAAACUCUCAGCUAACCAUUUUCAUCAUUUUUCCUAAAUUUUUCCUUCCAAUCUUCACCACGUUUGCCCUGAACUCUCAAGUAAUCAUUUUUCAUCAUUCUUCCUGAAUUUUACCCUGUAGGUUUGUGCUUUUGAAUGAGAGAAGAUGUUAAAGGUAGAAAAGAACGCACACCUGAGAGAUUUUUACUUUUGCUGAUUUACCUGCACCUGAAUUACAAUGGGUGGAGACGCCACCAGCACUGGUACCUCAUCUUGAUGAAGCAUCCAUACAGAUUAAAAAACUUUUAUAUGUGUUUGCAGGAUAUCGCACACUUGACCAUGUGCACUCUCAUGUUGACAUACACAAUUUCACUAGUAAUACAUGGGGAGGGAGGUUUGAUUUGCCCAAAGAGAUGGGGUAUUCACAUUUAGUUUUGUAUAGAUAUUUUCAGAUAUUUUAUGUUUUUUACAAUUCAAGGCGGCUCUAAUUGAAAUGCAAUUAACUAUUUGAUGAAAUGCCUCUAUGAGCUAUCUAUUUAACUGCAAGAGUUUUAGGCUGAGGUUUUGAGCUACUUUACACAGUCAUUGAUGUACAUUCAGUACAAGGAAAAAAAUUCAAGUCCAUGAGAGAUUAGGAACUAAUUUUUCAUAGCUUUAUACACUGCAAACAAGAGUCAGGCUUUGCAAUGUCUACCUCAUGUUGUGUUUCCUGUGGUUGAUAUCGUAAAUAAGAGUCAGGCUUUGCAUUAACCUGAUGAUGAUGAUGAUUAGAUGUUCGGUAGCAUGAAAAUAUAGUAUGGUUCCCUUUUUUUUUAUAUAACUACUUGUAGAGGUAUAAAAUGUAACAUGUAAUUACUUCUCAAAAAUUUCAUGCAAUUGAUAUGUGAAAGGGACUAGCUAAGCCAAUUACACAAGUGACGAAAGAAUUGUUUAGCUGAAACCCUGUAUGACCAAACUUUGCACAAAUGCAUGAUCCUGCAUUGUUAGAAUAGCUACACAAUAUCCAUGAUGCUGAGUAGUGGUUUGGGAAAAAAAAUUAUAAUUUGAAGUAUGUUUCAUUCCCAGUUUGCUUGAGGGAUUAACACAAUCUAUUUUUAAAAUUCAUAGGGUGUUAUUGCUUAAACUUUUUUCUUGUUCAUCCCCCAUGAAAUUCAUUUCCUAGUGCAUUUUAUGGUCUUACUGAUGCUAUUUGGUAUAUUUAAUCGUUUACUAGUUGGAUUAGCACCAUGUUGUCUGUUUUGAGUUUGUCUUUAUUUUUUAUUUUUGUUUUCAUUUGUGGGUUUGUAAUGCAAAUUAUGUGUUUGAUGAAAUGGUACUAUGAACUGUCUAUAAGUUGUAAAGUAAUAAGUAAUUGAUUUGAUUAAUAUGAGAAUAUCUGUAAAGUGUGUUACUUGAACUAAGUAGCAAGUUUUUGAUACGCUAGUGGGUUGGUAAUUCAUAGCAUGCUUUUCUAGUAUUGAGUUUCGAAUUGCUUCUUUUUCAAACGAUUUGCUUCUCAAAUGUGUUUCAAUUGUUGUAAUAUGUGAUCACAAGCAAGAAAUAAAAUUGUGAGGUUGUGAAGACAAAUAGAAGACAAGAACUAAGAGAAGUUCUGAAGUAUAGACUUACUACUGAUAAAGACUAGACUUCUGUGAUGGUGAUAUUUAGAUGAUAUACAUCCUAAAUUUGGCUUGACUCAUUCUUUUGUAUUUAAUAGUGGUGAUGACUUUUAUUCUUAUUGAUGGGACAAGCUGAUGAUAUGUAAUUAUAUUUACUCGGACCUCUAUUCUUUUUUGGCUAAUAGUCCUUGUAAUUAUUGUAUAAAGUUUUGACUUA
Molecule: long non-coding RNA, 1850 nt
Organism: Quercus lobata
Lineage: Eukaryota; Viridiplantae; Streptophyta; Magnoliopsida; Fagales; Fagaceae
Exons: 3
Source: RefSeq, a predicted model, not a curated record